Molecule: long non-coding RNA, 6676 nt
Organism: Heterocephalus glaber (naked mole-rat)
Lineage: Eukaryota; Metazoa; Chordata; Mammalia; Rodentia; Bathyergidae
Source: Ensembl
CUCAUGGAUGUCCGCUGUUAAAGUGAUCAUGUUGACUGAGAUGAGGACCUGGACAUUGGAACAGGACAUCCAGGGAGAUCAUGACGGAAAUGGCGACACUGAACCCCUAACUACUUAUGACUCUUCUUUGCCAAUAGAAGUAGCGUCACCACUCCUGGGAGAAGUGGCUUCUCCACUCCCAUCCAGAAGGAUUAAUCCUGGGUCAAGAAAGCUGUGAAUCCCUCCACCCCCAGCAGUUGUUUGCAAAACAGUUUUGACUCUCCUCAGGACCCGCCCAGCAACCUCUUCUUUUGCUUCCCGACCUAUAUACAACCAGGCUCAAGUCCCAGGCCCCUAAAGAUCCUGCUGCUUUCUGCCUCAGUGCUAAUUAAUAUCCUGGACGUUAUCAAGAAGAUAUGAGAGAUGACAUCAAAUUCUGGUGAAGAAGGAAGAGCUAGCACAUGGAGGGAUCAGUGUUUCACAGUAGUUUUGAAAGAGGGUGGUGACAGAAGGGAAAAGAGGUUAUCUGGAGGGGAUUCAGAAUUGGCAGUGAGGGUCAAUUUAGGAGACAUAGAUUGUGACCAUAAAUAUUAAAGAGGAGGAUUCUUUUUGACACUGAGAUUUUUCUGCAGUGCUACAGUGGAGGAAACAUCCAUAGACAUCGUGGACAUUAUUUAGCUCCUGGGAUGAGAAGAGAGCCUGCUGUUGCUGAACAGGCGAUGAGAAUGCAUUGUGCUUUUUUCUUUGGGAAUAUUUGAAUAUCUCCUCGAUGCUGAAACCAGAUCAAAAAUACAGAUUGUGAUAGCAAAGCGGUCUGAGUCAUGAGCUCAUGUGAGGACAGUCAUUGGCCCUUUCCUCUGUCAAAUUAGACUGUUGUGGUUAGGUAUAAAAGGUGGGGUUUGCAACAGUUUUUCCUAAAACUUUAUUUCGUAGUUCUGUAAAAAUGGUUAUAUUGGAUGCUUUCUAAGAAUAAUAUGCUUGUGAACUGAAAGAUACAUGCUGUAAAAAGUCAGGCAGUUCUAUGACAGUAGCAUAUAUAUAAGAUAUGGGGAUUUCCAAGAAGUAAAAUUUAGUUUUUUGGGUUUUUUUAAAUCAGUACUGGGGAUUGAAUUCAGGGCCUUUGCACUGAUCUGUAUCCCCAUACCUUUCUCUUUUUAACUUUUUACUUUGAGACAGGGUCUUAUCAAGUCCCCGAAUUGCCUACGCUGUACUAAAACUUGCAAUCCUCCUGCCUCAGCCUCCCAGAAUACUGGGAUUACAGGUGUGCACCACCAGAUGGCCAAAUUUGACCAUAGAAUGGCAGUAAUCACUGAGCUCCCCUUAAAUAUAAACUACAAAGAUUCCAUUUAUAUUAAUUGGGCCUUAAAGUAAUGACUUCGUACAAAUAAAAACAACUAGUUAACAUCAUAGGCCUGAAUUUGAGGAAAGAAGGAAGAUAGGUUUGAAGAUGACAAAAUUUUUCCAACUUGGGGCCCAGAGGGAAAUUGUUCAAAGCAAAACAGCACUACUGUGUGGGGAACAGGGAAAGGGGACAUUACCUCUGAAGUGAGUCCUAGUCUUCUGCGAGCCACAGGAGCACAAGGUGAAUUAACUUAUUAUUACAGGAAAGGUAGACAAAAUGAGACUGAGAAGAAGCUGAGCUUUGGGCCUGAUCAGUGCUGCUCUGGGCAGCAAAGACAAAAGCCCCUGAGCUUGCAGCACCUUUUAUUCAGUCCAUCGGGAGAAACAGAUGUAACAGAUGACUGGAGAGCGGGUGGAAUUCCUAGAUCAAGGAGGAGCUAUGCAGAUGAAGAUUUUGUUCCUCCCAGGGUGUCUUCUGCUGCUGUAAUCUGGUCCUGGAGCAUCACAGCAUCACCAGAUCAUUGAGGUCUCAGUUGUGACCAAAGGCCAAAAUGGAAUUAUGUCUCAAAAUGCCAUAGCUGGCCUGUGGGCAUGAGAACUAGGCCUAAUCAAAUGAUUUUUCUCCAAUAUUAUGUAGUAUUGCUCCCGACACUACUGAAACAUUUUCACCAAACAAUAUUCACCCUUACUAUAUUACCUGCAUACUUUAGGCCCCUCCCUCCCCAGUUCUGGUGGGGACUGAUUCCAUGAACCAUAAAAUAAGUGCAGUGAUCUGCACUUUGAAGAAACCAUCAGUAGGGGGAUCCACAGUUCUAUACCACCCCAAAGUGAUGGUGACUUGCUAAUUGGCAAAGCAAAAAUACACUCACAAUUCCGUGUGAGUAGGCAAUAUAAUCAAAAAGCUGUACUUGGCCUAGAAUUGGGAGAUACUACAAGACUGUAGGAAAGUCACUUCAUUGUUCCAGCGUGAUUCCAGUUUCCUCCUUGUUGAAGUACUGUAAUGAAACCUUUUCCGAAUGUUUAUCUUUGUAAAAAUACACUCAAGUUAUAGGUUUCUUAUUCCAGCCUGAAUAAUCUUAUACAUAUUAUGAAAUAAUAUCAGGAUUUUAACUUAAAAUCAAUCUGGUAUUCAAAAUAUACCCUGAACCCUGUCAGUAAUUAUUAACAAUGAAACUGACAGGUUUAAAAGUUAGGAAACCUCUCGGUUCCUCUAGGAAGCCACAGUAAAAACCCAUCACACUUCCCACCUUUAACUUUUGCUCUCUCAGAUUCCAUAUUUGAACAAUUCUUAGCUCUUGUCCAGCAAUGCUAAGGGAAAGAAAGAUUAAAUUAUCUGCGAAUUAUAUCACAUCGAUGUCUACAUUUUAAGCAUUUUUCCUACCUUGUUGUGGUGAUCUAUACCCCAUUAAACAGAAUUCCCCUGUCCAAGAGACAAAUUGGUAUCACAAAUCACCCAGAAUUAAAGAAAUCACAAAUCACCCAGAAUUUACAGGAAAACCUAUGAUUUCAACGUCAUGCGUUUUUCUCAGUGAAUCCAUUUUAGUGGCUGGUGGUGAGAAAGUUAAAUAGUAAUAGUUUAGUAGUAAUUACUUGCCCUAUCUGUCUAAAAAGGAGGAGGACAACCUGAAGAUUGAAUGUAUAACUCACAAUUUAAGUGUGGAAAAUUGCACAAUCUUUCAGUUUGUAUACCAUUGAUAAAUUCAAAUUUGAAGCCCACCGAUAUAGUUGACUCCUCUAGAAAAGAUGGAACUCUCCAUAGCUAUCUUCCAGUGUUUGGUGGCUGUGACUGGCUAUGACUAGCCAUGGGUAAAGGUCAGGGAGUUUAGAGCUAUUCUCAAAUAGUACAAUCAUAGGGAAUUAAUUCUUGCUUCAAUGUUAGUCCAAAGACUUUUCGUUGUGUUACCAUCUCUCUGUUGGUAACUUUAAGGCCUACUGUGCCAGUUUGGCCAUAAGAUCCCCAUUUACACAUACCAGGUUAUAUCUUUGCUCACAAUUUAAACACUAGUGAAGAUCUCUUGUCCUAGCUACUCUUCUCACUGCUGAGACAAAAUAUCCGACACCUAAAGUUAAAGGAGGAAAGUUUUAUUAGCUCACAGUUCAUAGUUGGCUUGCUCCAAGGCAGGGUGACAUGGUACAGGGCCAUCACAGAGGAGAAACACUUCAUGGCAGGCAGAAGGCAGCAAGGCAGCAAAAGCAAACAAGGCUCUUUCUGUCCCAUAUUAUCUUAUCCACUUGCAAGGCAGGCACCAGAACCACUGAGCUAAAUCCCCAGCCCAAUUUUUCCUACUCUUAACCUCUGUUGUUCCUAGAAUUCAUUCUUCGAUUUUAGAGAACACAAACUCACAUUUUGGAUAUCUAGCAGGUUGAGAGUUAUAAUAUUUUACAUGUUUAGAUUAUUUUUGCCUGUUUGGAUUGCUUGCUACCUUGUAUCAAUUUUGGAUUACUUGGUGCCCUAUAUCAGACCUCUGACCACACAAGGCUUUGGGGGGACAUUAGACACAAGCCAUAGCAUCUCUGUUCACUGGUUUGAAGGCAGGAAAAUGCUACACAAAAAAGCGGGAAUGACAAGCCUUGAAAUGGUGGCACAAGGAUUAUAGAGUGUCAUUGUGUUUUAAAGGAGUUGUGUUGAAAGACCUUUAACAUUUCCAGUAACUAGUUUGAGCAUGCAGAAUUUGAAACAUAAAAAGGCUGAACUUCACAGGCCUCAAAGAGGAAAACACACACUUUUUACAGUUGGUUCUGAGUCUGCCUCUGGACACACGAUUGUCUUGCUCACGGCACCACUUGCUUUUCUGAGUACCGCUCUCGUCAGUGUUGAUCUUGGCAGCUUGGGACACCAAGGUCUCCUCUAGCAGGUGACUAACCUCCCUGUGUUCCUCAAACACCGGGGCUGUCACAAGUGCUUUGCGUACAUAGUCUCAGCCUCAAGACAACCCAUGAGGGAGAAAUGAGCUCAGAAGAAACUGGGCUCCAAGAUGCUUUGAUUAACCAUGUAACCUUCAUGAAUAACAGUCCCAUGGCAGUCCAGAGCAGCCGAUCAGUUCUGGUCCCUCCUGGCUGCUCUCUGCCCUUCCUCCCUGCACAGCUCUUCCGGAAGUUCCUGUCAGGAUGGUUCAGGAAGUUCACUGACUAGAAGUUCCUGUCAGUGACCACGAAGGCAGAAUUUGUACCACUGUUAGAGUUGGGAGUCCUUUAUAUUGUGGUACCACUGCACUUUGUUAGUUCUUUUUCUACUCUCUGUAAUGUACCCAUUUCCUAGCCCUCUACUUCAACAGUUUCUAAAUAGCUUCAUUAGGUAAGGGGGCACUGCCCUCCUUUGGGUACCUACUGAAUUUGCCCAAGAAAGUUGGAGGACUGAGGGAAGGGGACCUGAAUUGGCACCCACCAUAGGGCCGGAGAUUUAGCUCAGUGGUUUUGCUGCCUGCUGCGCAAGCGCAAGGACCCAAGUUCAAUCCCCGGUACCAAAAAAAAAAAAAAAAAAAAAAAAAGAAUUGGUACCCACCGCCAUCAGGCAUGAUGAGAGGGAGAGAACAGUAAGAGGGGCAAAGACAAGAAUACAUAAAGUUUAUCUAAAUAAACUUCUUUGCUAACAUACAGGACAGUCAAAAGUAUUCCAUGUGUGCACACAUACUCUCCACCUCCCUCUCCCUGGAAAAGCUGCCCUUCACUUAUCAGAAAGCAAAGUAUCAAUUGCUUUUAAACCCAUGACUGCUUUCUUUGAGUACUGCAUGACAUUUUUCCAGUCCUUCCAUUCUUAUUGUUGGUCCCAUACAGGUGCAUGGCUCAGCACUCAGAAUUAUCUGGUCCUAGGGCAAAGGAUUGAGUUUACUGUCUCAAAGAAUAAAAUACUUGCUCACCAAACCAUAGAGAGUGCUAACUUAUGAUCUGUAAUUUGUUACAAAAUGACUGGCAUUAGUCCAUAAAUAAGCUAAUUCAUUGCUAGUAGAGAACAAAUCACACACGUUCCUUUGCUCUACCCAUUCCCAACUGUCUAUCCUAAGUAGAUGCAGGCCAUGUAUUGGAUAUUAAACAUACGUGCAAAUGUCCACACAAAUUUAUCUUCUUUUCAGAGAAUACCCAGCUAGGUCCCCAUGUCACUUGUACUUACAAAAACAAUAGGACCAUACCCCACCCCACUGCAAUAACCUAAAGACUAAAAGCCACAAACAUAAUUGAAAACUCAGUCUCACAUGUAGAUAAUCCACCACACAAAAUAACGUUCUCAAGGUAAGUAGGGAGAUUGGAGAGGGAAGCUGGGCUUUUGGUGGAAGAGGACAGAAACAGGAUGUAGGUGGGACACAGGUAUUUCCUGUGCAAGAUAGUGGCACUGGUGUAAGGUUUGGUUCUGGCAGACGCCUUUAAAAUAGUUCUCAUCGUCAGAUAUACACGCAUGAGAUCCCCUCCCUCACAAACUUCUUGCUUUGUUAUCAUUUUGGUUAGGGCUUGACCGAAGUGACUUCAUUUUGAUUCUGAAAACUUUUACAUAUUCAGUUAUUUAAAGCCAAACGACAGCGCUGGACUGCAAGCACUAAACUCCCAAAAGGCAUUUUCUAAACCAUUUACUGUUUGCACGGUAUGGACUGUGAAAAUGUCCCCCCGGAGAAGAAACAGUGCGUUGGGUUCAUGGCAUGGAUUUCCUCCCCUUUCGCAUUGAUGUCGUCCUUCCGUCCACUCCGUUUAUCCUGGCCCAUGGACCGGAAGUGCCCUAGGGGCCACGGUUGUGUCCUCCCUGCACCCUGGGUCCUUGGCUGGGACCAGAGUCAUCCGGCUCACUUUCUAGAACGCACCUGACACAGGUAACCAGGGUGUGGGGGGGGAUGCUCAUCGCCAGCCUGUGUUUGGUUUUCUGCGUUUUCCUCUUUUGCUACUCCAGCUGUUCCUGACAGACAUACUCUACUCCUUUUCUGGAUUUUUGUGAAAAUUUCCUCUCUGUUUAUGAUGAUGAAAACAAUGGCAACCAAAUCGCCUCCACAACUUAGUCAUAGCGCACCUGAAGCUCCCAGAGUUGUUGAGACCCUCCACUUGGUGUUGCUGUGAUAACUAUUAAUAAUCACAGCAUUGCUAGUUUUUAAUUCCCACGAGCUCCGAUAAAUCAUGCAUUGUAUGUAUUUUUGCUAAUCCUCACACCACCCUUACAACAUAGUGGUAUUAUCCGGGUUUGAGAGAUAAGGAAACAGAUGCUCGGAGAGGCUAAGUGACUUCCAAGGUCACACAGCUGCCCGGUCGGUGGCAGCUGGGCCGAGGCCUCCUUCGCCCAUCACUCAGGCGCCUGGGGCUGCCAGACCCGGGUCAGGGCCCAAGGCGGGGCCGCAGAGGUGUGGCCCCGGGUGGUGACUGAAUACCAGGUGCCCGGGCG